UACGUAGGGUGCAAGCGUUAAUCGGAAUUACUGGGCGUAAAGCGUGCGCAGGCGGUUUUGUAAGUCAGAUGUGAAAUCCCCGGGCUUAACCUGGGAACUGCGUUUGAAACUACAAGGCUAGAGUGUGGCAGAGGGGGGUGGAAUUCCACGUGUAGCAGUGAAAUGCGUAGAGAUGUGGAGGAAUACCGAUGGCGAAGGCAGCCCCCUGGGCUAACACUGACGCUCAUGCACGAAAGCGUGGGGAGCAAACAGG
This 253-nucleotide ribosomal RNA is filed under the name uncultured bacterium. RNAcentral describes it as "partial 16S ribosomal RNA". It matches the Rfam family "Bacterial small subunit ribosomal RNA", at positions 524 to 776 of the family's 1533-position model. The record is from RNAcentral.